CGUCUAUAUACGUAUAGCAUAUCAAUAAGCGGAGGAAAAGAAACUAACAAGGAUUCCCCUAGUAACGGCGAGUGAAGCGGGAAGAGCUCAAAUUUGAAAUCUUCAAGGUUUUACCUUGACGAAUUGUAGUUUAAAGAAGUGUUUUCUGUUGAGAGUAUUAGUAAAAGUUCUUUGGAAUAGGACAUCAUAGAGGGUGAGAAUCCCGUAUUUGACUAUUCUUUCUAGCUUUGUGAUACACUUUCAAAGAGUCGGAUUGUUUGGGAAUGCAGUCCAAAAUGGGUGGUAAAUUUCAUCUAAAGCUAAAUAUUGGCGAGAGACCGAUAGCGAACAAGUACCGUGAGGGAAAGAUGAAAAGAACUUUGAAAAGAGAGUUAAACAGUACGUGAAAUUGUCAAAAGGGAAGCGUUUGACACCAGUGUUGUUUUCUCGAAAAUCAAUUAAAAAUGGUGGGAUUUUGUGUUGUAUUGACUUUAUCAGCUUUCUGCACUUUUUUCCUAUCUUUCUUAAUGCACUUUUCGGUUAACAAGUCAACAUCAAUUUCUUUUGUUGUAAAAGGGUAUGAGGAAGGUGGCUUUCUUUUCGGAGAAAGUGUUUAUAGCCUUGUACCUCUGCAAUCGGAGAGAUUGAGGUCUGCAGCGUAGAUCCUUCGGGGUUAGAUACAUUUGUGCUAAGCUAUAGCCUUUCAUAGACAACUUGUUGACUAUGAUCAGUCAUGUAGCUUACUCGCUUAUGCUAUUUUACCUACGCUUAGGAUGUUGACGCGCGUGUGUGCGUG
This 775-nucleotide ribosomal RNA is filed under the name uncultured Neocallimastigales. RNAcentral describes it as "partial large subunit ribosomal RNA". It matches the Rfam family "Eukaryotic large subunit ribosomal RNA", at positions 26 to 639 of the family's 3401-position model. Lineage: Eukaryota; Fungi; Neocallimastigomycota; Neocallimastigomycetes; Neocallimastigales. The record is from RNAcentral.